Molecule: long non-coding RNA, 498 nt
Organism: Panicum hallii
Lineage: Eukaryota; Viridiplantae; Streptophyta; Magnoliopsida; Poales; Poaceae
Exons: 3
Source: RefSeq, a predicted model, not a curated record
GUACUUUUGUUGUGUGGUUGCGUUUGUUUGACUUGCGAGGCGCUAAUUUGGCAAUUCUCCCUCUGAAAUCUGAAUAGCAGUCUAGCAGUGAUGAUGUCAGGACUCCGGAGGUGCAAGCGGCAAGCGGCAAGCGGCACGCAACGAUGCAGAUGAACCUGGUGGGGGUGAGGUUGGGAGUUCUUCUCUGGGAGCUCUUCUAUAUAUCAUGUGGUGACUGCAGCAGCUUUAUUGACUUCAGAAGUGCGGCUGUGGUACCUGCUUGGAAGACCUGGCCCCAUCUUGGCCUAAUCUCUUGGCACUUCAUGGCGACUCACCUACAAGACCUCCCGAAUCACUAGCAUGAACCAUCGGCAGAACUCCACCUCGUCUGUUUCCUUUAUCAUUUCAGAAACCGCUAAAUUCACCGAGACCCCCCUUCCAUUCUCUGUAAAUUUCGAUUCGAAUUCAUAAUCAACAGGUUUUGACAAUACGACUGGGAAGUUACCACGAGGAGCUCCA